CGCGUAGGCGGCUUUCUAAGUCGGGGUGAAAACCUGUGGCUCAACCACAGGCCUGCCUCCGAAACUGGAUAGCUUGAGGCCGUGAGAGGAAAGCGGAAUUCCUGGUGUAUCGGUGAAAUGAGUUGAUAUCAGGAGGAACACCAGUGGCGAAGGCGCCGCUCUGGGCCGUAACUGACGCUGAGGAGCGAAAGCAUGGGUAGCAAACA
Molecule: ribosomal RNA, 206 nt
Filed under: uncultured bacterium
Lineage: Bacteria
Description: partial 16S ribosomal RNA
Rfam family: Bacterial small subunit ribosomal RNA
Source: RNAcentral